GGUUGGGUUUGAUCGGAGACAGGGACGAGGCAGAGCAUGGGUAGGGGGCCAUCAACAGAAUUCCAAAUUUGAUUUCUGUUUGCUCGCUCACAAAAUGGAGGGACUCACCACAAACACACUCAGGCGUUGUUGCUCCCUCCCCUGCACUGCCUCUUCCCUGGCUCCUCACCGUCUCCCAUCC
This is a non-coding RNA of Zea mays, 181 nucleotides long. The record is from Rfam. NCBI's taxonomy places the organism in Eukaryota, Viridiplantae, Streptophyta, Magnoliopsida, Poales, Poaceae.